AUGAUCUAUAGGCAAAUGAUGGAGUCACUUCACAAAGCUGUUGUGAAUCCUGCCCACUUCUUUGCAUCCACACAAGACACAACAACAACAAUGAACAACAUCAUCAUCAUCCUCAUCUGGACUCUCACACUGUUUGCUCAAGAGUGUAGAGGACAGUACACAGUAACUCAGACUCAAUCAAUAAUAGCAGCUCAACCAGGACAAGAAGUCAGAAUAAAUUGUAAAACCAGCAGUUCAGUGCAUAAUAAUGAUUUUUUAGCCUGGUACUUACAGAAACCUGGAGAAGCUCCUAAACUCCUCAUAUAUCGUGCAACAAGCCGUUACACUGGAACUCCUUCUAGAUUCAGUGGCAGUGGAUCUGGCAGUGAUUUCACUCUGAGCAUCAGUGGAGUCCAGACUGAAGAUACAGGAGAUUAUUACUGUCAGAGUCUACACAUUCCUAGUAGCUGGGUGUUCACACAGUGAUAAAGAGUCGUACAA
Molecule: non-coding RNA, 480 nt
Organism: Carassius carassius (crucian carp)
Lineage: Eukaryota; Metazoa; Chordata; Actinopteri; Cypriniformes; Cyprinidae
Source: the annotation of a RefSeq genome assembly